This 464-nucleotide ribosomal RNA is filed under the name uncultured bacterium. RNAcentral describes it as "bacterial SSU rRNA". It matches the Rfam family "Bacterial small subunit ribosomal RNA", at positions 30 to 507 of the family's 1533-position model. The record is from RNAcentral.
AUUGAACGCUGGCGGCAUGCCUUACACAUGCAAGUCGAACGGUAACAGGUCUUCGGAUGCUGACGAGUGGCGAACGGGUGAGUAAUACAUCGGAACGUGCCCAGUCGUGGGGGAUAACGUAGCGAAAGUUACGCUAAUACCGCAUACGAUCUACGGAUGAAAGCGGGGGACUCGCAAGAGCCUCGCGCGAUUGGAGCGGCCGAUAUCAGAUUAGGUAGUUGGUGGGGUAAAGGCUCACCAAGCCAACGAUCUGUAGCUGGUCUGAGAGGACGACCAGCCACACUGGAACUGAGACACGGUCCAGACUCCUACGGGAGGCAGCAGUGGGGAAUUUUCCGCAAUGGGCGAAAGCCUGACGGAGCAAUACCGCGUGAGGGAAGACUGCCUAUGGGUUGUAAACCUCUUUUUCUAGGGUAGGAAGUAAAUGACGUGUACCUGAAGAAUAAGCAUCGGCUAACUCCGUG